This is a non-coding RNA of Hymenopellis radicata, 92 nucleotides long. The record is from the annotation of a GenBank genome assembly. NCBI's taxonomy places the organism in Eukaryota, Fungi, Basidiomycota, Agaricomycetes, Agaricales, Physalacriaceae.
ACACCGAUGGUGAAGCGGUUAUCAUGCUUGCCUUCCAUCUACAGCUGGAUUGUCUCAAGCAAGCGGCAGGGGUUCGACUCCCCUUCGGUGUA